GAUCAUGGCUCAGGAUGAACGCUAGCUACAGGCUUAACACAUGCAAGUCGAGGGGCAGCAUGUUGGUUGCUUGCAACCGAUGAUGGCGACCGGCGCACGGGUGAGUAACGCGUAUCCAACCUACCCUUGUCCAUCGGAUAACCCGUCGAAAGGCGGCCUAACACGAUAUGCGGUUCACAGCAGGCAUCUAACGUGAACGAAAUGUGAAGGAGAAGGAGUGGGGAUGCGU
RNAcentral lists this ribosomal RNA (229 nucleotides) under uncultured bacterium. RNAcentral describes it as "partial 16S ribosomal RNA". It matches the Rfam family "Bacterial small subunit ribosomal RNA", at positions 15 to 236 of the family's 1533-position model. The record is from RNAcentral.